GACGAACGCUGGCGGCGUGCUUAACACAUGCAAGUCGAACGGAAAGGCCCUGCUUUUGUGGGGUGCUCGAGUGGCGAACGGGUGAGUAACACGUGAGUAACCUGCCCUUGACUUUGGGAUAACUUCAGGAAACUGGGGCUAAUACCGGAUAGGAGCUCCUGCUGCAUGGUGGGGUUUGGAAAGUUUCGGCGGUUGGGGAUGGACUCGCGGCUUAUCAGCUUGUUGGUGGGGUAGUGGCUUACCAAGGCUUUGACGGGUAGCCGGCCUGAGAGGGUGACCGGCAACAUGGGGACUGAGAUACGGCCCAGACUCCUACGGGAGGCAGAAGGGGGGAAAAUGGAAAAAUGGGCGGAAGCCGGAGGAAGCAACGCCGGGGGCGGGAUGACGGCCUUCGGGUUGUAAACCGCUUUCGCAUGUGACGAAGCGUGUGUGACGGUAAUGGGUGAAGAAGCACCGGCUAACUACGUG
This 468-nucleotide ribosomal RNA is filed under the name uncultured bacterium. Its description in RNAcentral is "partial 16S ribosomal RNA". It matches the Rfam family "Bacterial small subunit ribosomal RNA", at positions 28 to 507 of the family's 1533-position model. The record is from RNAcentral.